Molecule: ribosomal RNA, 190 nt
Filed under: uncultured bacterium
Lineage: Bacteria
Description: partial 16S ribosomal RNA
Rfam family: Bacterial small subunit ribosomal RNA
Source: RNAcentral
GGCUGAAACCCGCCUCCAUGAAGUUGGAUUCGCUAGUAAUCGCGCAUCAGCCAUGGCGCGGUGAAUACGUUCCCGGGCCUUGUACACACCGCCCGUCAAGCCAUGGGAGCUGGGGGUGCCUGAAGUUCGUGACCGCAAGGAUCGACCUAGGGCAAAACCGGUGACUGGGGCUAAGUCGUAACAAGGUAAC